This 253-nucleotide ribosomal RNA is filed under the name uncultured bacterium. RNAcentral's name for it is "partial 16S ribosomal RNA". It matches the Rfam family "Bacterial small subunit ribosomal RNA", at positions 524 to 776 of the family's 1533-position model. The record is from RNAcentral.
UACGAAGGGUGCAAGCGUUACUCGGAAUUACUGGGCGUAAAGCGUGCGUAGGUGGUGAGUUAAGUCUGUCGUGAAAGCCCCGGGCUCAACCUGGGAAUGGCGAUGGAUACUGUCGGGCUAGAGUCCGGAAGAGGCGAGUGGAAUUCCUGGUGUAGCGGUGGAAUGCGCAGAUAUCAGGAGGAACACCAAUAGCGAAGGCAGCUCGCUGGGACGGUACUGACGCUAAGGCGCGAAAGCGUGGGGAGCGAACAGG